RNAcentral lists this unclassified non-coding RNA (621 nucleotides) under Daphnia pulicaria. Its description in RNAcentral is "uncharacterized LOC124317895, transcript variant X5". The record is from RNAcentral. Lineage: Eukaryota; Metazoa; Arthropoda; Branchiopoda; Diplostraca; Daphniidae.
CAAAGAAAAAGGAAUAUCACUAUUAUUUAAAAAUGUCCUUGAGGCUGCACGAAAAAUUGCACAAGAAAUAUAAUUACAAAUGUGGUCGUCGUGUCAACUCAUCUGGUCGUGUCUAUUAUUAGAAUCGCUUAAUGGACAAGCUGCAAGCUGAUUAGCAGGCAAAUAAAUCCAUGGGAGCUUAAAAUAGAAGAGUUAAACCUGAUUAAAGUAUGAGAAAUGUGUAGUUCCUGCUUAGCAUUGAUCAAAUUCCAGGCCAGAGCCAACCAUCAUACCCACAGGAAAUUCAAGUUUUGCUUCUGUUGCUAUUGACCAGUCACCAGCAAAAAUCCCUCAUCGCUUGGAUAAACAUCAUCCCGUUUUGGAUUGGAGAAACUUCUGUUCGAGCUCUUUCUCAAAAUCUUCUCUGUCCUCGUGUACUCCCAUGUGAGGUGUGGCUGUAUUCACGAGGAUACUCUUUUGCUUUCCCUCCUGGUGGAUUCAACUCUUCAGCAGACAGAGCACUUUGUGUAUGGAAGCCUGGCUGUAUUUCCCAGGCUGAAAGGAAAAUUCAGAAUCAUUAAAAAUGGAGUUGAACGCACGACGAGACCUAAACUACAAGAAAAUCUAAGCGAAAAUCUUCUC